CAUAGGAUAAUUAUAAUUUUUAUUUCAAUAAAGUCAUGUAUUCAAUUUAUUUCGAAAAUAAAAUUGUUACACAUGCCUUUUUGAUUGACGGUCUUUAUCAUUUGCAUAUGAAUGUGAGUGUAAAUAUUAAUGAGCAAAUUAUGAAUGCCAUAGCGUCUAAGAGACUUAGAGACAGGAUUAGCUAAAAGUAUUUAUGGCACCUUAGGUUAGGCC
RNAcentral lists this long non-coding RNA (213 nucleotides) under Elaeis guineensis (African oil palm). RNAcentral describes it as "long non-coding RNA (EGUI_LNC068889)". Lineage: Eukaryota; Viridiplantae; Streptophyta; Magnoliopsida; Arecales; Arecaceae. The record is from RNAcentral.